Molecule: long non-coding RNA, 2650 nt
Filed under: Ananas comosus (pineapple)
Lineage: Eukaryota; Viridiplantae; Streptophyta; Magnoliopsida; Poales; Bromeliaceae
Description: long non-coding RNA (ACOM_LNC042548)
Source: RNAcentral
GAAAAAGAGUGCAAGUUCACAUAUAUAUACUCCCAAAAUACUAUUCACAUCAGAUUGUGGCUCAGGUAUAGAUAUUUUUCGUCUGCCCUUCAGAACGUCCGAUUGAGCUCAAACUUGGCAGUCACGAUCAGUUUAACCUUACUUAACGAAAGAAAUUUUAAUCUUUCAGUUUCGACCCCGUUUGGUCACCGAAAGCUGUACCGAACUGUAAUCUUAAUCAGAUAACUGUCGGAUUUUAAUUUCCACCUUCUGGGUGUCAGAAUGGCAUGAAACUUUAAAUCUAGCCUCAUAAAAAUAAUCCUAAUGUAUUCGCAAAUUUUCGGAAUUUUCUGACACCGUGCAUUUUCUGCUAAAAUAUCAGCCCGGUCUCACACAGAAAAUUCUCAAUUUUCCAUUUUCACUCCGAUUUUCGCACGAGUCAAUCCUGACGUAUAAUUUACUUGUCUAAGUUCAAUAAAAAUAGUAUCUCACACUAUUUUUAUUUAUAUUCACUUUUAAUAAAAAAAAAUCCGGUAUGCUACAUUCUCCACCUCUUAAAAAGAGUUUCGUCCUCGAAACUUCAAUCACACCUCAACUCGACCUAUCGAGCCAUAAAUACUAUCUUCCCUUGUAAUUACCCGGUUUUAGGUAGGGGAUAAUCAACACAACCAGCGAAAAUAAAUCCUCAAACCGCACUAUUUCGUGCAUAAAAAAAAUUCUCAAGGCGAGUCAAGUCAGCUCGCAAUCCAAGAGUACUAGGUACCCACAACAACUCCAACAUCAAACAAGGCCAAUCCAUUGGUCGGCACACAAAACCAUCUCACGUGGUAGGGUGUUCGAGACGACACACCUGAUCAACAGAUCAUCCUACAAGCGUCGAAAAAGUUCAACGGUAACAAAAUCCUCGGGUUGGGUCACCACACACUCGGUGUAUCCUCGAUCUCACGAUCCAACAUAUGGCAUUCCACGCUCCAAAGUCAAAGCUCGGACUACCGUCCUAACCAAACUCUCUGCCCCACCCGUAGGUACCGGGUCGCUGUCACACACAGCUGACUGCGCCUGCCCAAAGGGCCCAGGCUCCACAGUCCACAAACGGUCCAGGCACGGUCGUCUCCAAGCACUAUCCGGCGAACAGCCGAUCACGGGAUGCAACUAAUGCAAUCAUCGUGUGAUUCACAAGGCAUAGGAAAACAUGCCACCCACAACCCGCAAAUCAACCGCCUAGCUCAAGAGAGCUGAAAGUCAUCGCAAACAGCGAGCUCUGGCAUCCUCGGUACACAACCUCCUCUUGUCCCAAAUAGGGCGACAGGGCAAACUCUCUAAUGUCCAAGGAGUGGUCGGAGAAACACGCGUGUCGUAAGCAACAGAUCUAAAAGGAUGCCAUGCAACUCGGCAAACAGCCGAUCGAAGGAUGCAAAUAAUGCAACGAUAUCCAACAAUGCACAAUUCAGAUGUCACAAAACAACUGAUACCUGUAGCCACCAACUCGGCUGUUGCCGCCUCCGCGGUCUGGGCCGCAUACAUGCGCCCGCUCGGGGCCUGUCGGGACCCCUCCGUCUGCCUCUGAAUAGGUGGCUGCCUGGCCUGGUAGCGAGCGGAAGGCGUCCCCAGGCUGGGGCCCGGUAAAACUGGUGCCGAUGCUGAAGAUGGCGCUGGUACUGAACCGCUCCGGCAGUCCGACUGAAAGUGACCCUCCUGGCCACAUAAGUAACACCUGCCCUGCUGCUGAGCCGUCGCCGCCUGCUGGGUAACUAAGUCGGUGAGGGCCGCAAGCUGGCCUCUCAACUCACGGACCUCGCCGGAUCCGGAAGUAGCGGAGGUCUCCACCUCCUCAAAAUGUGCCGCAUCAUCCGCUCCGACAGACUGGGAGCGUGUAAUCGUCAUCGCAUUACAACAUCAUAUAAGCGCAAGUUAAUGAAACCCACGCUAUCGUAUCCCCGCUCAACUAACCCAUACCCAAAUCAUGCGAAAGUAAGGAAGUGUCUUAUACUACUAACUCCCGAUGUUACGUUGUCGGCCGCCAACGUAACCCACCGCGAAGUUAGAAGCCAUACACUUCAAUCGAACUCCAACUUCUUGGAGUUAUCAAAAAAACCCAAUCAUGAUACUUUCGCUUACAAAUCAAAUAUAGAUCUCGUCUCUCAAGCCAUUUCCUAUAGUCUCAACCACAAGUUUGCUAGUCCCUCUAAGACUCACCUAGUACUUGACCAAACUUAAUAUUCUGUCACUCCCCGGACCGGCGUAGGCCCGCCGAUGCUGCCAGACCCGCAUAUGGCCUACACAUAAUAAGCGUCUAAAGAAAGCUUGAGAUAAUAUUAGAAGAUACUACAUCUAGAAACAUCUAUUAAAGAAGGAAAGGAAAGGACAGCAAGUAUACAUCUAGAGCUCUAUAGUAAUCCCAAACAUAACGUUAACAGUAUCCAUCUCAUAGUCAAAAAUGUUGGUCUCUCUAGACAAUGUAAUCUCUUAAUCUCCAAAAAGAACAAAUAGAGGUGGACCACCUAUCCAAUUCAUCCUUCGCUAGCGUAACACGGCAUUUCUUCCGGCAUCGGGNNNNNNNNNNNNNNNNNNNNNNNNNAAAAAAAUCUGGUAUGCUACAUUCUCCACCCCUUAAAAGAGUUUCGUCCUCGAAACUUCAAUCACAUCUCAACUCGACCUAUCGAGCCAUUGA